Molecule: ribosomal RNA, 2774 nt
Filed under: Pseudomonas sp. R34(2017)
Lineage: Bacteria; Pseudomonadati; Pseudomonadota; Gammaproteobacteria; Pseudomonadales; Pseudomonadaceae
Also listed under: 1 other name
Description: bacterial LSU rRNA
Rfam family: Bacterial large subunit ribosomal RNA
Source: RNAcentral
AGCGCAUACGGUGGAUGCCUUGGCAGUCAGAGGCGAUGAAAGACGUGGUAGCCUGCGAAAAGCUUCGGGGAGUCGGCAAACAGACUUUGAUCCGGAGAUGUCUGAAUGGGGGAACCCAGCCAUCACAAGAUGGUUAUCUUGCACUGAAUACAUAGGUGCAAGAGGCGAACCAGGGGAACUGAAACAUCUAAGUACCCUGAGGAAAAGAAAUCAACCGAGAUUCCCUUAGUAGUGGCGAGCGAACGGGGACUAGCCCUUAAGUGGCUUUGAGAUUAGCGGAACGCUCUGGAAAGUGCGGCCAUAGUGGGUGAUAGCCCUGUACGCGAAAAUCUCUUGGUCAUGAAAUCGAGUAGGACGGAGCACGAGAAACUUUGUCUGAAUAUGGGGGGACCAUCCUCCAAGGCUAAAUACUACUGACUGACCGAUAGUGAACUAGUACCGUGAGGGAAAGGCGAAAAGAACCCCGGAGAGGGGAGUGAAAUAGAUCCUGAAACCGUAUGCGUACAAGCAGUGGGAGCAGACUUUGUUCUGUGACUGCGUACCUUUUGUAUAAUGGGUCAGCGACUUAUUUUCAGUGGCGAGCUUAACCGAAUAGGGGAGGCGUAGCGAAAGCGAGUCUUAAUAGGGCGUCUAGUCGCUGGGAAUAGACCCGAAACCGGGCGAUCUAUCCAUGGGCAGGUUGAAGGUUAGGUAACACUGACUGGAGGACCGAACCGACUACCGUUGAAAAGUUAGCGGAUGACCUGUGGAUCGGAGUGAAAGGCUAAUCAAGCUCGGAGAUAGCUGGUUCUCCUCGAAAGCUAUUUAGGUAGCGCCUCAUGUAUCACUGUAGGGGGUAGAGCACUGUUUCGGCUAGGGGGUCAUCCCGACUUACCAAACCGAUGCAAACUCCGAAUACCUACAAGUGCCGAGCAUGGGAGACACACGGCGGGUGCUAACGUCCGUCGUGAAAAGGGAAACAACCCAGACCGUCAGCUAAGGUCCCAAAGUUAUGGUUAAGUGGGAAACGAUGUGGGAAGGCUUAGACAGCUAGGAGGUUGGCUUAGAAGCAGCCACCCUUUAAAGAAAGCGUAAUAGCUCACUAGUCGAGUCGGCCUGCGCGGAAGAUGUAACGGGGCUCAAACCAUACACCGAAGCUACGGGUAUCACGUAAGUGAUGCGGUAGAGGAGCGUUCUGUAAGCCUGUGAAGGUGAGUUGAGAAGCUUGCUGGAGGUAUCAGAAGUGCGAAUGCUGACAUGAGUAACGACAAUGGGUGUGAAAAACACCCACGCCGAAAGACCAAGGUUUCCUGCGCAACGUUAAUCGACGCAGGGUUAGUCGGUCCCUAAGGCGAGGCUGAAAAGCGUAGUCGAUGGAAAACAGGUUAAUAUUCCUGUACUUCUGGUUAUUGCGAUGGAGGGACGGAGAAGGCUAGGCCAGCUUGGCGUUGGUUGUCCAAGUUUAAGGUGGUAGGCUGAGAUCUUAGGUAAAUCCGGGAUCUUAAGGCCGAGAGCUGAUGACGAGUUGCCUUUAGGCGACGAAGUGGUUGAUGCCAUGCUUCCAAGAAAAGCUUCUAAGCUUCAGAUAACCAGGAACCGUACCCCAAACCGACACAGGUGGUUGGGUAGAGAAUACCAAGGCGCUUGAGAGAACUCGGGUGAAGGAACUAGGCAAAAUGGCACCGUAACUUCGGGAGAAGGUGCGCCGGUGAGGGUGAAGGACUUGCUCCGUAAGCCCAUGCCGGUCGAAGAUACCAGGCCGCUGCGACUGUUUAUUAAAAACACAGCACUCUGCAAACACGAAAGUGGACGUAUAGGGUGUGACGCCUGCCCGGUGCCGGAAGGUUAAUUGAUGGGGUUAGCUAACGCGAAGCUCUUGAUCGAAGCCCCGGUAAACGGCGGCCGUAACUAUAACGGUCCUAAGGUAGCGAAAUUCCUUGUCGGGUAAGUUCCGACCUGCACGAAUGGCGUAACGAUGGCGGCGCUGUCUCCACCCGAGACUCAGUGAAAUUGAAAUCGCUGUGAAGAUGCAGUGUAUCCGCGGCUAGACGGAAAGACCCCGUGAACCUUUACUAUAGCUUUGCACUGGACUUUGAAUUUGCUUGUGUAGGAUAGGUGGGAGGCUUUGAAGCGUGGACGCCAGUUCGCGUGGAGCCAUCCUUGAAAUACCACCCUGGCAACUUUGAGGUUCUAACUCAGGUCCGUUAUCCGGAUCGAGGACAGUGUAUGGUGGGUAGUUUGACUGGGGCGGUCUCCUCCUAAAGAGUAACGGAGGAGUACGAAGGUGCGCUCAGACCGGUCGGAAAUCGGUCGUAGAGUAUAAAGGCAAAAGCGCGCUUGACUGCGAGACAGACACGUCGAGCAGGUACGAAAGUAGGUCUUAGUGAUCCGGUGGUUCUGUAUGGAAGGGCCAUCGCUCAACGGAUAAAAGGUACUCCGGGGAUAACAGGCUGAUACCGCCCAAGAGUUCAUAUCGACGGCGGUGUUUGGCACCUCGAUGUCGGCUCAUCACAUCCUGGGGCUGAAGCCGGUCCCAAGGGUAUGGCUGUUCGCCAUUUAAAGUGGUACGCGAGCUGGGUUUAGAACGUCGUGAGACAGUUCGGUCCCUAUCUGCCGUGGACGUUUGAGAUUUGAGAGGGGCUGCUCCUAGUACGAGAGGACCGGAGUGGACGAACCUCUGGUGUUCCGGUUGUCACGCCAGUGGCAUUGCCGGGUAGCUAUGUUCGGAAAAGAUAACCGCUGAAAGCAUCUAAGCGGGAAACUUGCCUCAAGAUGAGAUCUCACUGGAACCUUGA